This 652-nucleotide ribosomal RNA is filed under the name Flavobacterium sp. S160.08.RBT.W.Gill.N. RNAcentral describes it as "bacterial SSU rRNA". It matches the Rfam family "Bacterial small subunit ribosomal RNA", at positions 60 to 713 of the family's 1533-position model. The record is from RNAcentral. Lineage: Bacteria; Pseudomonadati; Bacteroidota; Flavobacteriia; Flavobacteriales; Flavobacteriaceae.
AGUCGAGGGGUAUAAUUCUUCGGAAUUAGAGACCGGCGCACGGGUGCGUAACGCGUAUGCAAUCUACCUUUUACAGAGGGAUAGCCCAGAGAAAUUUGGAUUAAUACCUCAUAGCAUAGCAGCUUCGCAUGAAGCCACUAUUAAAGUCACAACGGUAAAAGAUGAGCAUGCGUCCCAUUAGCUAGAUGGUAAGGUAACGGCUUACCAUGGCAACGAUGGGUAGGGGUCCUGAGAGGGAGAUCCCCCACACUGGUACUGAGACACGGACCAGACUCCUACGGGAGGCAGCAGUGAGGAAUAUUGGACAAUGGGCGCAAGCCUGAUCCAGCCAUGCCGCGUGCAGGAUGACGGUCCUAUGGAUUGUAAACUGCUUUUGCACAGGAAGAAACAACAUUACGUGUAAUGUCUUGACGGUACUGUGAGAAUAAGGAUCGGCUAACUCCGUGCCAGCAGCCGCGGUAAUACGGAGGAUCCAAGCGUUAUCCGGAAUCAUUGGGUUUAAAGGGUCCGUAGGCGGUUUAGUAAGUCAGUGGUGAAAGCCCAUCGCUCAACGGUGGAACGGCCAUUGAUACUGCUAGACUUGAAUUAUUAGGAAGUAACUAGAAUAUGUAGUGUAGCGGUGAAAUGCUUAGAGAUUACAUGGAAUACCAAU